UACGUAGGGGGCAAGCGUUGUUCGGAAUUACUGGGCGUAAAGGGCGCGUAGGCGGCGCGUAAAGUCGGACAUGAAAGCAUUGGGCUUAACCCGAUGGCUGCGCCCGAUACUUGCGUGCUUAGAGUGCGGGAGAGGCAAUCGGAAUUCUCGGUGUAGCGGUGAAAUGCGUAGAUAUCGAGAGGAACUCCGGUGACGAAGGUGGGUUGCUGGACCGACACUGACGCUGAGGUGCGAAAGCUAGGGGAGCAAACGGG
Molecule: ribosomal RNA, 254 nt
Filed under: uncultured bacterium
Lineage: Bacteria
Description: partial 16S ribosomal RNA
Rfam family: Bacterial small subunit ribosomal RNA
Source: RNAcentral